Long non-coding RNA from Astyanax mexicanus (Mexican tetra), 467 nucleotides. RefSeq lists it as uncharacterized. The record is from RefSeq and is a predicted model, not a curated record. The transcript is spliced from 4 exons. NCBI's taxonomy places the organism in Eukaryota, Metazoa, Chordata, Actinopteri, Characiformes, Acestrorhamphidae.
UUGUAAUGGGCUCCCAUAUUAAGUGCAUUACGGUAGGGGCGCUACUGCGUCUAUUACGGUAGCUGAGGGCUGUAGCGUAAGCUAGGAAUGGCGGCAGCCAGUGGGUCAGUAGUGUGUAUGUACUCGGCCAUGCUGCGUGGGCUCUGGGAACACUAAAAAGGGAAACACUCUACUGUGCUGGGGAUUGCUGGCCACUGAGGGGAGCUGUGGCUGCAUUUAAAGGGUGCUGAUUUUGGUGGAUAACUUUGGUGUGGAGCCCACAUGAGAUUCUUAUGGUUGUCAUGGUUGCUGUAUAUGAUUUAAUCUAUGUCACUGUUUUAUCACUGUGAAACAUAUAUUUUGCUAGUAUCUGUUUGUUGUAUAUGUUUAGUAAAUUGGCCUAAUGAAGUAGAUUCUAUCAUUGAUGCUGUUUUUUUUACAAUUGAGUAUUUUUGGAUUAAAUAAAGGUAAAAGCUGUUUCAAAUUAA